Molecule: ribosomal RNA, 431 nt
Filed under: Pseudotachycines sp. 3 QDZ-2022a
Lineage: Eukaryota; Metazoa; Arthropoda; Insecta; Orthoptera; Rhaphidophoridae
Description: partial small subunit ribosomal RNA
Source: RNAcentral
GAGGAGAGUGACGGGCGAGGGUAGACUAGGCAUUGAUACCCUAUUAUUUAAAAUGUAAAAUUUUAUUUAGCUUGAGUAGUAUUAGUUAUGUUCUUGAAACUCAAAGAAUUUGGCGGUGUUUUAGUCUUUUCAGAGGAAUCUGUCCCUUAAAUGAUAAUACACGAUUAACUUUACCAUUAUUUUGUAAUUUCAGUAUGUAUACCGCCGUCAUCAGUUUAUCUUUUAAGAGUUAAAAAUUUUCUUUUCUUUUAAUUAUACAAUAUGUCAGGUCAAGGUGCAGCUUAUAGUAUGGUGGUGAUGGAUUACAAUAAAUUUAUUUAUAUGGAAUAUUAUAUGAAAAAUUGAUAUGAAGGUGGAUUUGUAAGUAAUUUUAUUAAUUUUAUUAAAUUGAUUUUAGCUCUAAAAUAUGUACACAUCGCCGAUCACUCUCA